RNAcentral lists this long non-coding RNA (2606 nucleotides) under Gallus gallus (chicken). Lineage: Eukaryota; Metazoa; Chordata; Aves; Galliformes; Phasianidae. The record is from RNAcentral.
CAACGGGUUCCGGGCGCUGUGAGGGCGGGGCGAACACCGUCACCGCCCCGGCGCCACGGAGCUCCGACCCCGGCCGGGCAGCGCGCAGCUCAACGGGCGCACGAGCAGCUUCUGCGGGGGUACAACCGCUCCGCGGCCGUAUCGGUGCGGUAUCCCCCGCUCCAGAGGCGAUAGCUGCAGGCGAUGGACGCUCAGCGCGGCUCCCAUAGGACAGCGCAUGCGAAAGGCAGCACGCGAGGAGUCACACAACAGCUGAGGCUCGGUCGGACCUCACAGCCCACCCGACCCCGACCCUGCCAUGGGCUGGCUGCCCCCCCAGCUCAGGCCCGUCCGCGGCCUGGGGCACCCACAGCUGCUUCGGGCAAAGGCAUGGAAAUACUGUCAAUUCACCGGAGAACAACAGAGCACAUCGCAUGCCAUGCUUCUCUUACAAGUGUGGAAAAGGGAAAGGGAUGCACUGCGCUUCGUAGACUUGAGAAGCUCAGAUUGAGCUCAGCAAGGCACGCGAAGCCCUCAGAAACCUGGGUCAGACGGCUUAGCGAGGUGUGCAGGUAAAGGAACUGUGAUUCUGCUCACGUGCCAUCCGGGAUGCGGGAAAGAGCAAUUUAUUCAAUCCCUGCAGUAGUGAAACGCCGCCACCUGCAGGGGGACAGAGACACGACAGCCAACCACACAUACUGUCAGCCAGCUCUGGUCGUACAAGGAACAUUAGAGCAGAAACACAGCACAUCCAGCCAGGACUUCAGAGCCAGAUACAAACUGGAGGGCACUAUGGGGUGGACCAGGAACCUCAGAGCCAGAGGUGGGUAUCGUUCCGUGUGAAGGAAACACAGCCAGCUUCUUCAGCUUUGAGGGUUAACAGGAGAUGUCACGAAGAUCAGCUGCAGGCUACCACAACUGUCAGCCUUGGGAAUUAUUUGAGGGUUUUGCAUUGUUAAGAUAAAACAGCUGAGAUCUAACCCGUCCAGCAAUGUUAAAAGCUGAGCUGGAAGCUUCUAAGAGCUGCUGAGAAGGAGGAAGUGAGCUGCUGUACCAGGCUUUGCUGGGAAAACUAUCAAGCUUCUAGGUUCACAAACAUUUCCCUACCAGGCAGACGAGGGGUACCCAAACCAAACAUUGCCAUCACAUACUCAAUAUCCAACUCAUUAAAGCUAUUUAAACUGUUAAGAAAAAUCUCAUGUUUUUAUUGUGUAAUGUAGCAUUGAAACAUCUGAACAAAUCGGUAUCUGGGCUGUACAGGCUGCUGUUCUUUCAAUUCUUUGGGUUAUAGAGCAUCUUGUCAGUACAGAAACAACAACCUUUUGCAUUUUAAAUUCUUUCCGAGGCAUGCUGGUACAACACAAAUUUCUCUUGUCAAAUGCAGCUAACUAACUUCCAAACAUCAUGCACAAGGAACUCAUCUAGUGACAAUGUAAACUCAGCAGAAGGGCAGGUCACAGCUCUUGCUUGCUCGCGCUCUGCAGUGCUGCAGGUUUGUGUAUGAUAUUUGGAAUGUUCUGUGAGUGUGAAUAAUAUCAGUAAGAGGAGAGGAGAAAAAAAAGAACAGGUGCCUCGGGGUCGCCAGCUCAGCCAAAGUUGUGCAAUGCUAGCCUGAACAUGUCAUUGGUGCAAACCCAGGCAUCGUUGAUGUUCUUUAAUAGAAAUAUCUGGUGGAAUCCCAUGAUAGGAUCUUCAUCAGCCUGUGGAAAGAAAGGAGAAGUGUUCAAAAAUCUCUGGCUUGAGAAAUGUAUUCCAACACACAGUAAGAAAACUUAAAAAGCUAAUGCUCAUAGUGACACUGCAUGCUGUAAGAUAGCUAAUACCUCGAGACACUCACACAACCAGAGGUCCCGUUCCAAGUUGCUCGCAAACACACACCCAGGGCCCACUGACAGAAAUCCUGUGAUGGUUUGUUAGAGAUUUCUGGAAUAAUUACAGACAUCUCAUUCCAGCAACUUCACAGCACCAGUGGAAGCAUGCCUGCCUCACCCUGUGGAGCCACAGACUUUCCCUGGGCCUUGCCCAAGGAACCAAGUAUAAGAUGACACGUUUUCAAAUUAGGUUGUAACUACUGUAAGUUUGGAUUGGACCUCAGAAGAGGUUUUCUCUAGAAGCCAACAGCAACAGUGCUGCCUGAACUCUCUCUGUAACGAUCUAGGCUUUCAAAAGGUUUCCCAGAGCAGGUACAGCUGGCCAGCAACACAGUGCUUCCUGCUGCCAUUUCCAGGACCAACUCUGAAAUGGUAGCUGUGGCUGCAAGGAGGUGUUGAAAAGCACAAAGAAUCUUUCCAGCAGUGCCUUACCUUCUGUCUUUGCCAAUUCAGCACCGUGUUUACAGGAAUUAGGGACUACAGAAGCAGGAAUAUCAAUAGUACUGAAUUGAAUAGUAAUGUAGGGAGGCUAGUUCUCCAAUCUAAUGCUUACCAGUCUCAUCAGACAUACAGUCUCAAUACGAGGUGGAAAUCACAACAGGAUUUAAUCUGAACAAUGCAUAGGGUCUAGUAACAAAACAAUCCCCUUACACUGACCAUACUGUUUUCAGUAUGGUCAGUAUUUUUGGAGGAUUUUAAGCUUUCAGAAUGAAAAGGGGGAAAAAACAUAAAAGGAAAGUAUUGAAAAGCAGCAGC